AGUGAACGCUGGCGGCAGGCCUAAUACAUGCAAGUCGAACGGCAGCACAGCAGAGCUUGCUCUGUGGGUGGCGAGUGGCGGACGGGUGAGGAAUACGUGGGAAUCUGCCCAGUCGUGGGGAUAACGUAGGGAAACUUACGCUAAUACCGCAUGCGCCCUUCGGGGAAAGCCGGGGACCUUCGGGCCUGGCGCGAUUGGAUGAGCCCACGUCGGAUUAGCUAGUUGGCGGGGUAAAGGCCCACCAAGGCGACGAUCCGUAGCUGGUCUGAGAGGAUGAUCAGCCACACUGGAACUGAGACACGGUCCAGACUCCUACGGGAGGCAGCAGUAGGGAAUAUUGGACAAUGGGCGCAAGCCUGAUCCAGCCAUGCCGCGUGAGUGAAGAAGGCCCUCGGGUUGUAAAGCUCUUUGUCCGGAAAGAAAAGCGCCGGGUUAAUACCCUGGUGUCCUGACGGUACCGGAAGAAUAAGCACCGGCUAAC
RNAcentral lists this ribosomal RNA (481 nucleotides) under uncultured bacterium. RNAcentral's name for it is "bacterial SSU rRNA". It matches the Rfam family "Bacterial small subunit ribosomal RNA", at positions 29 to 501 of the family's 1533-position model. The record is from RNAcentral.